RNAcentral lists this long non-coding RNA (1030 nucleotides) under Oryza brachyantha (malo sina). RNAcentral's name for it is "long non-coding RNA (OBRA_LNC000936)". The record is from RNAcentral. Lineage: Eukaryota; Viridiplantae; Streptophyta; Magnoliopsida; Poales; Poaceae.
CCCUCUCUCCGGGUUGGGGUUUUGCUGCUUUCCAGCAACAGAGGCUGGGGCAUGGGAAUAGUCGACGUCGACUGGUCCGGGCCUACGUGUCAGUCUAACUCGAAUCGAUGGAACAGGUUUUUAAAAGAGUUUCCCACUCAAGUGAAAAAAAUGUUUAUAAAAAUAUUCUUUUGCAUUUUCUGCAAAAUUUUAACCUUGUUUAGAGUAAAAAUUAUCUUAAUUGUUUAAAGACACACGCUAGCAGUAACACCUUAAUAAGAUUCAUGGGCAAUCGAUGCCAAGUGGCGAGUAGGCAUGACGAACUACGGCGAUGCAUACGACUUGUGUUGAUUCCUAUCCUUCUUAUAUUGGCUCGCCUGGUAGUAUGCGGUAGAAAUAGUUUACAUUAUUUGUGUUAAUCCAAAUUUUCUUAGUGUCAUUGACAGUAUAGGUGUCGCCCAUAUAUAGACAUGUUUGAUGAGUCAAAUCUUCUUAGUGUUUCUUGACAGUAUAGGUGUCGCCCAUAUAUAGACAUGUUUGAUUAGCUUAAGAUUUAAAAAACAAUCAGUAAAAAGUCAGCCUUUAGUUUUACAGUUUUUGGCUUUUAUUUCAUUUACCGAAUUCUACUAUUUUAAAAUCUUAGAAAUUGGGUGAUAUUUUGUGAGUGCUUUUGACUUUUCUAUAGAUUAUGUCAGAAGUCGCACCUGCCAUAAGCUUCCAAAAUAGGCCCCGUGAGAGUUUUGUUAUGUGCUGCAUUAGUUCAACAAGACUACGACAGUAGACAUCAACACGCCUGAGUGGCGAGCAAUACGAAGGGCAGAGCGGGUGUCUCCUCGUCGUCCUCGAAUCCUCACCCAUGCAAUAGAAACCCUCUCUAACAAUACAUACUUACCAACGUUAUUGACCAACUGUUAUAAAAAACAAAUUUAGUAACACUUAUUAGUAGAUGAGGUGAGUUUGCAAUGGAUAAUUCGUGUUGCAGCACAUACAUUGCAACAUCUUACACAAUUAGCAAUAAAUAAUAGUAUAUAUUGCUAGUUAUGUGUUGCAA